AUUGAACGCUGGCGGCAUGCUUUACACAUGCAAGUCGAACGGCAGCGCGGGCUUCGGCCUGGCGGCGAGUGGCGAACGGGUGAGUAAUGCAUCGGAACGUGCCCAGUAGUGGGGGAUAGCCCGGCGAAAGCCGGAUUAAUACCGCAUACGACCUGAGGGUGAAAGCGGGGGACCGAAAGGCCUCGCGCUAUUGGAGCGGCCGAUGUCGGAUUAGCUAGUUGGUGGGGUAAAGGCUUACCAAGGCGACGAUCCGUAGCUGGUCUGAGAGGACGACCAGCCAACAGUGGGGGGAGACCGGGCGCAGUCCGUGAGGGGGACAGGUGGGGGGAAGUUGUGGAGGGGGGGGAGACCCGCGACCAGGCAAGGCCGGGGGGGGGAAGUGAGCCUUGGGUUGGUAAACCGUUUGUGUGAGGGAAGAUAACCUCGGGGCAAAGACCGGGGGGGGAAGGCGGAACGGGAAGAAUAAGCACGGGCUAACGCGGGGCGAGCAGCCGUGAUAAUAGAUCGAAAAACCAUCGACUAACU
This 525-nucleotide ribosomal RNA is filed under the name uncultured bacterium. Its description in RNAcentral is "partial 16S ribosomal RNA". It matches the Rfam family "Bacterial small subunit ribosomal RNA", at positions 34 to 540 of the family's 1533-position model. The record is from RNAcentral.